UUUCCACGUUUGCAAGAAAUAUGGCAUGGCCAAGCACUGCCUGUCAGCUUCUUCAACAAUUUAAGAGAGCUGGUGGUGGAUGACUGCACGAAUAUGUCGAGUGCUAUUCCUGCCAAUCUGCUACGGUGCUUGAACAAUUUGGAAUACCUGGCAGUGAGGAAUUGUGAUUCACUAGAAGAGGUGCUUCAUUUGGAAGAACUAAUUAAUGCUGAGGAAGAACAUUUUGGCCAACUGUUCCCUAAUCUUUACGAGCUAAAGCUCAUUGAUCUUCCAAAACUCAAAAGAUUCUGCAACUUCACUGGGAAUAUAAUUGAACUGCCUAAGUUGGACAAUCUAACUAUUGAGAAUUGCCCUAGUAUGGAAACACUGCCUGUCAGCUUCUUCAACAAUUUAAGAGACCUGGUGGUGGAUGACUGCACGAAUAUGUCGAGUGCUAUUCCUGCCAAUCUGCUACGGUGCUUGAACAAUUUGGCAUGGCUGAAAGUGAGGAAUUGUGAUUCACUAGAAGAGGUGCUUCAUUUGGAAGAGCUAAGUGCUAAGGAAGAACAUAUAGGCCCCAUGUUUCCUGAGCUUUCCCUGCUAGGGCUCAUUGAUCUUCCAAAACUCAAAAGAUUCUGCAACUUCACUGGGAAUAUAAUUGAAAUGCCUAAGUUGGAAUAUCUCAUUAUUGAGAAUUGCCCUGAUAUGGAAACAUUCAUAUCCAACUCUGUAGUGCACGUGACAACAGAUAACAAGGAACCUCAAAAAUUAACAUCAGAAGAGAACUUCUUGCUGGCUCAUCAAGUACAACCUCUCUUUGAUGAAAAGGUG
This 810-nucleotide long non-coding RNA is filed under the name Citrus maxima (pomelo). RNAcentral's name for it is "long non-coding RNA (CMAX_LNC001429)". The record is from RNAcentral. Lineage: Eukaryota; Viridiplantae; Streptophyta; Magnoliopsida; Sapindales; Rutaceae.